AGAAUCAACGCUGGCGGCGUGCCUAACACAUGCAAGUCGAACGAGAAAGUGGAGCAAUCCAUGAGUACAGUGGCGCACGGGUGAGUAACACGUGACUAACCUACCCUUGAGUUCGGAAUAACUUCGGGAAACCGAGGCUAAUACCGGAUAAUAUCUACGGAUCAAAGGAGCAAUUCGCUUAAGGAGGGGGUCGCGGCAGAUUAGUUAGUUGGCGGGGUAAUGGCCCACAAGACGAUGAUCUGUAUCCGGCCUGAGAGGGCGCACGGACACACUGGAACUGAAACACGGUCCAGACUCCUACGGGAGGCAGCAGUGGGGAAUUUGCGCAAUGGGGGAAACCCUGACGCAGCAACGCCGCGUGGAGGAUGAAAUCCCUUGGGAUGUAAACUCCUUUCGAUCGGGACGAUUAUGACGGUACCGGAAGAAGAAGCCCGGCUAACUUCGUGCCAGCAGCCGC
Molecule: ribosomal RNA, 457 nt
Filed under: uncultured bacterium
Lineage: Bacteria
Description: SSU rRNA
Rfam family: Bacterial small subunit ribosomal RNA
Source: RNAcentral